This 497-nucleotide ribosomal RNA is filed under the name uncultured bacterium. RNAcentral's name for it is "partial 16S ribosomal RNA". It matches the Rfam family "Bacterial small subunit ribosomal RNA", at positions 28 to 507 of the family's 1533-position model. The record is from RNAcentral.
GAUGAACGCUGGCGGCGUGCCUAAUACAUGCAAGUCGAGCGAACAGAUGAGGAGCUUGCUCCUCUGACGUUAGCGGCGGACGGGUGAGUAACACGUGGAUAACCUACCUAUAAGACUGGGAUAACUUCGGGAAACCGGAGCUAAUACCGGAUAAUAUAUUGAACCGCAUGGUUCAAUAGUGAAAGACGGUUUUGCUGUCACUUAUAGAUGGAUCCGCGCCGCAUUAGCUAGUUGGUAAGGUAACGGCUUACCAAGGCAACGAUGCGUAGCCGACCUGAGAGGGUGAUCGGCCACACUGGAACUGAGGCACGGGCCAGACUCCUACGGGAGGCAGCAGUAGGGAAUCUUCCGCAAUGGGCGAAAGCUUGACGGAGCAACGCCGCGUGAGUGAUGAAGGUCUUCGGAUCGUAAAACUCUGUUAUUAGGGAAGAACAAAUGUGUAAGUAACUAUGCACGUCUUGACGGUACCUAAUCAGAAAGCCACGGCUAACUACGUG